RNAcentral lists this ribosomal RNA (505 nucleotides) under Ectopseudomonas mendocina. RNAcentral's name for it is "bacterial SSU rRNA". It matches the Rfam family "Bacterial small subunit ribosomal RNA", at positions 1 to 491 of the family's 1533-position model. Lineage: Bacteria; Pseudomonadati; Pseudomonadota; Gammaproteobacteria; Pseudomonadales; Pseudomonadaceae. The record is from RNAcentral.
UCCGGAUCCGUUCCGACAGAGUUUGAUCGUGGCUCAGAUUGAACGCUGGCGGCAGGCCUAACACAUGCAAGUCGAGCGGAUGAAGAGAGCUUGCUCUCUGAUUUAGCGGCGGACGGGUGAGUAAUGCCUAGGAAUCUGCCUGGUAGUGGGGGAUAACGUUCCGAAAGGAACGCUAAUACCGCAUACGUCCUACGGGAGAAAGCAGGGGACCUUCGGGCCUUGCGCUAUCAGAUGAGCCUAGGUCGGAUUAGCUAGUUGGUGAGGUAAUGGCUCACCAAGGCGACGAUCCGUAACUGGUCUGAGAGGAUGAUCAGUCACACUGGAACUGAGACACGGUCCAGACUCCUACGGGAGGCAGCAGUGGGGAAUAUUGGACAAUGGGCGAAAGCCUGAUCCAGCCAUGCCGCGUGUGUGAAGAAGGUCUUCGGAUUGUAAAGCACUUUAAGUUGGGAGGAAGGGCAUUAACCUAAUACGUUAGUGUUUUGACGUUACCAACAGAAUAAGC